UGUGGGACCCGGAGACAAAGGGG
Molecule: non-coding RNA, 23 nt
Filed under: Cricetulus griseus (Chinese hamster)
Lineage: Eukaryota; Metazoa; Chordata; Mammalia; Rodentia; Cricetidae
Source: RNAcentral